GAUGAACGCUGGCGGCGUGCCUAACACAUGCAAGUCGAACGGAAAGGCCCUGCUUUUGUGGGGUGCUCGAGUGGCGAACGGGUGAGUAACACGUGAGUAACCUGCCCUUGACUUUGGGAUAACUUCAGGAAACUGGGGCUAAUACCGGAUAGGAGCUCCUGCUGCAUGGUGGGGGUUGGAAAGUUUCGGCGGUUGGGGAUGGACUCGCGGCUUACUAGCUUGUUGGUGGGGUAGUGGCUUACCCAGCCUUUGGAGGAUAGCCGGCAUGGGAGGUGGGACGGCGACAAGAGUACUAAGGUACGGAGCAGACGCCAACGGGAGGCAACAGUGGAAAGUAUUACACAGUGAGCGCGAGCCUGAUACGACGGCCCCGCGAGCGGAAAGCCGGCCUUCGGGUUAUGAACCGCUUUAGCCUGAGACGAAGCGGGAGUGACGGUAAUGAGUGAAGAAGCACCGGCUAACUACGUG
RNAcentral lists this ribosomal RNA (468 nucleotides) under uncultured bacterium. Its description in RNAcentral is "partial 16S ribosomal RNA". It matches the Rfam family "Bacterial small subunit ribosomal RNA", at positions 28 to 507 of the family's 1533-position model. The record is from RNAcentral.